UUUCCGUAGGUGAACCUGCGGAAGGAUCAUUCAUAAUAAGUGUUUUAUGGCACUUUUUUAAAUCCAUAUCCACCUUGUGUGCAAUGUCAGGGUUGAUUUUUCGCUCGAGAGGAUCAGCCCCAAACAUCAACUAUAUCUCAACUAUUUGUCUGAAAAAUAUUAUGAAUAAAACAAUUCAAAAUACAACUUUCAACAACGGAUCUCUUGGCUCUC
RNAcentral lists this unclassified non-coding RNA (213 nucleotides) under plant metagenome. Its description in RNAcentral is "partial contains small subunit ribosomal RNA, internal transcribed spacer 1, and 5.8S ribosomal RNA". The record is from RNAcentral.